Molecule: ribosomal RNA, 419 nt
Filed under: uncultured eukaryote
Lineage: Eukaryota
Description: SSU rRNA
Rfam family: Eukaryotic small subunit ribosomal RNA
Source: RNAcentral
CCAGCAGCCGCGGUAAUUCCAGCUCCAAUAGCGUAUAUUAAAGUUGUUGCAGUUAAAAAGCUCGUAGUCGGAUUUUGGCAUCACGCCGUACUGUCUGCCGAUUGGUAUGCACGGUUUGGCGGGUGCUUCCUUCCGGAGGCUCGUUCCCUCCUUAACUGAAGGGUUCGUUGGUUCCGGUUCUUUUACUUUGAGAAAAUUAGAGUGUUCAAAGCAGGCCUAUGCUCUGAAUAGGUUAGCAUGGAAUAAUAGAAUAGGACUUUGGUUCUAUUUUGUUGGUUUCUAGGACCGAAGUAAUGAUUAAUAGGGACAGUUGGGGGCAUUCAUAUUCCAUUGUCAGAGGUGAAAUUCUUGGAUUAACGGAAGAUGAACUUCUGCGAAAGCAUCUGCCAAGGAUGUUUUCAUUGAUCAAGAACGAAAGU